RNAcentral lists this ribosomal RNA (1549 nucleotides) under Salmonella enterica subsp. enterica serovar Enteritidis. Its description in RNAcentral is "bacterial SSU rRNA". It matches the Rfam family "Bacterial small subunit ribosomal RNA". The record is from RNAcentral. Lineage: Bacteria; Pseudomonadati; Pseudomonadota; Gammaproteobacteria; Enterobacterales; Enterobacteriaceae.
AAAUUGAAGAGUUUGAUCAUGGCUCAGAUUGAACGCUGGCGGCAGGCCUAACACAUGCAAGUCGAACGGUAACAGGAAGCAGCUUGCUGCUUCGCUGACGAGUGGCGGACGGGUGAGUAAUGUCUGGGAAACUGCCUGAUGGAGGGGGAUAACUACUGGAAACGGUGGCUAAUACCGCAUAACGUCGCAAGACCAAAGAGGGGGACCUUCGGGCCUCUUGCCAUCAGAUGUGCCCAGAUGGGAUUAGCUUGUUGGUGAGGUAACGGCUCACCAAGGCGACGAUCCCUAGCUGGUCUGAGAGGAUGACCAGCCACACUGGAACUGAGACACGGUCCAGACUCCUACGGGAGGCAGCAGUGGGGAAUAUUGCACAAUGGGCGCAAGCCUGAUGCAGCCAUGCCGCGUGUAUGAAGAAGGCCUUCGGGUUGUAAAGUACUUUCAGCGGGGAGGAAGGUGUUGUGGUUAAUAACCGCAGCAAUUGACGUUACCCGCAGAAGAAGCACCGGCUAACUCCGUGCCAGCAGCCGCGGUAAUACGGAGGGUGCAAGCGUUAAUCGGAAUUACUGGGCGUAAAGCGCACGCAGGCGGUCUGUCAAGUCGGAUGUGAAAUCCCCGGGCUCAACCUGGGAACUGCAUUCGAAACUGGCAGGCUUGAGUCUUGUAGAGGGGGGUAGAAUUCCAGGUGUAGCGGUGAAAUGCGUAGAGAUCUGGAGGAAUACCGGUGGCGAAGGCGGCCCCCUGGACAAAGACUGACGCUCAGGUGCGAAAGCGUGGGGAGCAAACAGGAUUAGAUACCCUGGUAGUCCACGCCGUAAACGAUGUCUACUUGGAGGUUGUGCCCUUGAGGCGUGGCUUCCGGAGCUAACGCGUUAAGUAGACCGCCUGGGGAGUACGGCCGCAAGGUUAAAACUCAAAUGAAUUGACGGGGGCCCGCACAAGCGGUGGAGCAUGUGGUUUAAUUCGAUGCAACGCGAAGAACCUUACCUGGUCUUGACAUCCACAGAAGAAUCCAGAGAUGGAUUUGUGCCUUCGGGAACUGUGAGACAGGUGCUGCAUGGCUGUCGUCAGCUCGUGUUGUGAAAUGUUGGGUUAAGUCCCGCAACGAGCGCAACCCUUAUCCUUUGUUGCCAGCGGUUAGGCCGGGAACUCAAAGGAGACUGCCAGUGAUAAACUGGAGGAAGGUGGGGAUGACGUCAAGUCAUCAUGGCCCUUACGACCAGGGCUACACACGUGCUACAAUGGCGCAUACAAAGAGAAGCGACCUCGCGAGAGCAAGCGGACCUCAUAAAGUGCGUCGUAGUCCGGAUUGGAGUCUGCAACUCGACUCCAUGAAGUCGGAAUCGCUAGUAAUCGUGGAUCAGAAUGCCACGGUGAAUACGUUCCCGGGCCUUGUACACACCGCCCGUCACACCAUGGGAGUGGGUUGCAAAAGAAGUAGGUAGCUUAACCUUCGGGGAGGGCGCUUACCCACUUUUGUGAUUCAUGACUGGGGUGAAGUCGUAACAAGGUAACCGUAGGGGAACCUGCGGUUGGAUCACCUCCUUACCUU